This 28-nucleotide non-coding RNA is filed under the name Bombyx mori (domestic silkworm). The record is from RNAcentral. Lineage: Eukaryota; Metazoa; Arthropoda; Insecta; Lepidoptera; Bombycidae.
UGUUGAUGGAAAAUGCCGACCCCCACAC